UGCAAUGAUGAAAUCACUCACAAAUUCAAGGGAAAAACUGUUAUGAAUGAAAAGGAGCGAUAUGAAUCUUUGCGCCACUGCAGAUGGGUUGAUGAAGUUAUUCCAGAUGCGCCUUGGGUUGUAACCCCAGAGUUCAUUGAGAAACAUCGGAUUGACUAUGUGGCACAUGACGCUCUUCCUUAUGCGGAUGCAAGUGGAGCUGGAAAUGAUGUUUACGAGUAUGUUAAGUCCAUUGGUAAGUUCUUGGAGACCAAGCGGACUGAUGGAAUAUCUACUUCAGAUUUAAUAAUGAGGAUUGUAAAAGACUACAAUGAAUAUGUGAUGCGCAAUUUGGACAGAGGAUAUUCAAGAACGGAUCUUGGUCUGAGCUACGUGAAGGAAAAAAGGCUGAGAGUGAACAGGGGUUUGAAAAAGUUGCAUGAGAGAGUAAAGAAACAACAAGAGAAAGUGGAAGAGAAGGUAUAUUCUUAAGUAUUUGUCUGCUUUUCAUUUCUCUAUUUCGAAUACAAACUUGUCAGAAGAGUCUCCAAUCUCUAUGGAAUAUGUGGUUUUUGAAUAAAGUUUGGCAAUUAUCUGGAAAAAGCAAGGAAAAAGGAUAUUGAGAUCUAUGUCUUCUGUCAUUUAUGCAAAUUAUUUUUUUAAAAAGAAGGUAACCAUAUUUUAUAUAACCUAAAGAGUACAUAGAGAAACAUAGUUACAGGAACCCCCAAAAAAACAUAAACCAAUCACUUAACUAGUUACAAUGACCCAAUAAUGUCAACUACAUAAUCUCUAUAUCUUCU
RNAcentral lists this unclassified non-coding RNA (782 nucleotides) under Hevea brasiliensis (rubber tree). The record is from RNAcentral. Lineage: Eukaryota; Viridiplantae; Streptophyta; Magnoliopsida; Malpighiales; Euphorbiaceae.